UACGGAGGGUGCAAGCGUUAUCCGGAUUCACUGGGCUUAAAGGGUGCGUAGGCGGGUUGGUAAGUCCGUGGUGAAAUCUCCGAGCUUAACUCGGAAACUGCCGUGGAUACUAUCAAUCUUGAAUAUCGUGGAGGUAAGCGGAAUAUGUCAUGUAGCGGUGAAAUGCUUAGAGAUGACAUAGAACACCAAUUGCGUAGGCAGCUUACUACACGAUCAUUGACGCUGAGGCACGAAAGCGUGGGGAGCAAACAGG
RNAcentral lists this ribosomal RNA (253 nucleotides) under uncultured bacterium. Its description in RNAcentral is "partial 16S ribosomal RNA". It matches the Rfam family "Bacterial small subunit ribosomal RNA", at positions 524 to 776 of the family's 1533-position model. The record is from RNAcentral.